RNAcentral lists this unclassified non-coding RNA (351 nucleotides) under uncultured fungus. RNAcentral's name for it is "sequence contains ITS1". The stretch from base 1 to 105 matches the Rfam family "5.8S ribosomal RNA", at positions 50 to 154 of the family's 154-position model. The record is from RNAcentral. Lineage: Eukaryota; Fungi.
GAAAUGCGAUAUGUAAUGUGAAUUGCAGAAUUCAGUGAAUCAUCAAAUCUUUGAACGCACAUUGCGCUCCUUGGUAUUCCGGGGAGCACACCUGUUUGAGUAUCAAUAAUCUCUCACAUCUUAUUGAUAUGCUUAAUUUCAACGUCAAAAGCUCCUUUGAAAAAGGGACAGCUUGUUUGAGAUGAUAGAAUAAGUCUAGAACUUUUUUACUUUCAAGCGCUGUGGCUGUUCCAUAUUUUUUCAUUUUGAGUCUCUUUGAUUCCUUUUAUUAUUACUUACGAUUGUUUACAAUUGUUAACAGUCGUUUGAAAACUUGGUCUCAAAUCAGGUGGGAAAACCCGCUGAACUUAA